UACGUAGGGUGCAAGCGUUGUCCGGAAUUAUUGGGUGUAAAGGGUGUGUAGGCGGGGUUAUAAGUCAGAGGUGAAAGCCCGCAGCUCAACUGCGGAACUGCCUUUGAUACUGUAAUCCUUGAGUCUUGGAGAGGUCACUGGAAUUCGUGGUGUAGCAGUGAAAUGCGUAGAUAUCACGAGGAAUACCAGAUGCGUAGGCGAGUGACUAGACAAGUACUGACGCUGAAACACGAAAGCGUGGGGAGCGAACAGG
Molecule: ribosomal RNA, 253 nt
Filed under: uncultured bacterium
Lineage: Bacteria
Description: partial 16S ribosomal RNA
Rfam family: Bacterial small subunit ribosomal RNA
Source: RNAcentral